Molecule: long non-coding RNA, 1148 nt
Organism: Piliocolobus tephrosceles (Ugandan red Colobus)
Lineage: Eukaryota; Metazoa; Chordata; Mammalia; Primates; Cercopithecidae
Exons: 4
Source: RefSeq, a predicted model, not a curated record
UCAGCAGAGAUUAUGCAGUGUUCUUUGGCUUCAAUAUUCGAAUUAAUAUUUUUAUGGUUUUUUUAGAUGACACAAAUUAUUUAUGACAGCAAUAUCAAAUCCCUAGUUCUUUCAAAAGAAAGUCUUACUCUUCUCUGAUGGUUAAUUUUGUCACAGGAUCAUGAAUUUUCUAAAACUGAGGAACUACAACUGGAAGACGUGGAUGAGGAAAUUAAUGCUGAAAAUCUGGAAAGCAAGAAGAAAAUUGUGGGAGAUGAUGAAAGUGUUCCUACAGGUUCCCACAGUAAAACAGAAGGAGCAGAAAGAACCAAUGAUGAUAGCUCAGCUGAAACCAUUGAAAAGAAAGAAAAAGCCAACCUGGAGGAACGGGCCAUUUUUGAAUACAAUGAAAACCCAAAAGGAUACAUGCUUGAUGAUGCAGGGAGCAGUUCCUUAGAAAUCCUAGAAAAUAGUGAAUCAACACCAAGCAAAGACAUGAAAAAAACACAGAAGAUUUUUCUAUUCAAAAGGGUCCCCUCAAUACAUCAAAAGAUGGUCAAGGAUAACGAUGAGCCGCUCUCAGAGAUAAAAUCCAUAGGAGAGCAGAUCAUUUUAAAAAGCAAUAAUAAAGAUGCUGACCAGAACCGCGUGAGUCAGAAUCAUCAGAAUAUUCCACCAGCAAAUACAGAGAGAAGAUCAAAAUCCUGUACAAUACUAUAAAUAUAUAUUUAUGUUUUCACAGUCACCAAGUGUACUGUAAUUUAUACUUGAAAAACGUUAUAACUUAUGAAGGAAAGUUUCUUAUAGUAAUCUUUUAAAGAUAUAAGUCAAUAUGUUUUAUUCGGCUUCUAUCAGUGUGACCAGUUGUGAUAUUUAUUUAUGCUAAUAUUUUUAACAAGUUGUUUCAAAAUAUGUGUAUCUCAAAUUCUCCCUCAAGUGUUGUGGCCUUAACUGUUCAGUGUUGCAAUAAAAAAUAUAUUUUUAUACAUUGAAAAUUGAAAUAAGAUAUUUCAUAGCUUUACUAAACAAUUUUACUUCUUUAUAAUUUUAUAAGGCAAUAUUUGCAAUCUCAUGACACUGUAACAGUUUUUGAUGUAUUUACAGUUUUUACAAAACAUAAAAUUGUUUAUAAUGAACAUAUUUUAAUAAACUAUAUCUGGUCAGUUCCA